Molecule: long non-coding RNA, 1182 nt
Organism: Parus major (Great Tit)
Lineage: Eukaryota; Metazoa; Chordata; Aves; Passeriformes; Paridae
Exons: 4
Source: RefSeq, a predicted model, not a curated record
CGGCGGGAGGCGGCGGUGUUCGCGCGGAGCCCUCAGCGCAGCCCCGCCGCGCUCGGGCCCGCGCCCCGCUGAGGGAGCCUGGGCCUUGCGCUCUGAUGUGUCGCGGUCUGGUUGCCCUGGAAACCACCGGAUGGGAAAAAAGGCAAUAUGGCCAAAGAGCAGUGGUAGAAAGGGGUUUGCCGAGUCAGUAUCCUUCAAACUAGGCCUAUUUUUGUGGUGAAUAGGUGUAAACAUUUAAUAACUUCUUUCAUCAGGCCUUGUGCCAUUGUUCUAAUACACUGUAGUUUUAGCCAAAGGUUCUUUAAAGGUCACCCAUUAGAACUCUCUUAUUCUACCUGUGAACACACAGUAUUCAUAAUUAUUUCCCCCUUCCUUGAAAUGCUUUGAGAUCUGUGGUUAAAGUCAGUUACAUAAAAGUUAAUGGUUAUAAAUUUACAUAGUUCCCAUUCUGGAAGGGUCAAUGCCUAAGUUGUAUGAGUUUUUCUGAAGACUAUAAUGUGGGAACACCCACAUGUCAGAAAGCAAGGUAGCAUUUGCAUGAAGGGACAUUGUUUCCCAGGUGUUUCCAAACGCACCUACGUGUACCAGGGAGUUUUAUUUCUGAAACCCGGAUCUAACGUCCUAGUUGAGUAUGCAACAACUGCAGUCACCACUAGAAAUAAAACCUGCUUAGUUAACCUACCAUAAUAGAAAAUGGAAAGGCUGACUGAUUAUCAAGACAAAAACUUUGAGCUCAUCCUGCAGUUUGGACUUCGGGACUUGCCUCUUUUUAAGGCACUCAGAAGAAACAUGUAAACAAUCUUCCAGAUUAAAAAGUUGCCGUAAGUACACAUGGUGGAAGAUAAGAACAAGCAGGGUGAGCUCAAGGACUCGCGGAAGCCCGGCUGUUUCAGUCCACGGAAUUUCAGAGAAAUUCCGUGCCGGCCAGAGCAGCAGCAGCCAGAGCAGUGCAACCACCGGCGGGCCGCGGGCAGCCCCGGUACCAGCGGGCACAGGCGCAGCACGGGGCAGCCGAGCGCUGCGGCGCGGAGAGAAGGCAAAACUACCCCCGGUGACCGGGAUGCCUUUUUUCCUGAAUGGAUUUGGGAUUGAGAUGCAGACGACCGACCUUCAGAAGAAGGACGAACAAGGCAACGAGCACACAGCAGCGAGCAGGAGCUGUCAAGGCGACGAAGAGACAGU